AGUGAACGCUGGCGGUAGGCCUAACACAUGCAAGUCGAACGGCAGCACAGUAAGAGCUUGCUCUUACGGGUGGCGAGUGGCGGACGGGUGAGGAAUACAUCGGAAUCUACUUUUUCGUGGGGGAUAACGUAGGGAAACUUACGCUAAUACCGCAUACGACCUACGGGUGAAAGCAGGGGAUCUUCGGACCUUGCGCGAUUGAAUGAGCCGAUGUCGGAUUAGCUAGUUGGCGGGGUAAAGGCCCACCAAGGCGACGAUCCGUAGCUGGUCUGAGAGGAUGGUCAGCCACACUGGAACUGAGACACGGUCCAGACUCCUACGGGAGGCAGCAGUGGGGAAUAUUGGACAAUAGGCGCAAGCCUGAUCCAGCCAUACCGCGUGGGUGAAGAAGGCCUUCGGGUUGUAAAGCCCUUUUGUUGGGAAAGAAAAGCAGCAGGUUAAUACCCCGCUGUUCUGACGGUACCCAAAGAAUAAGCACCGGCUAACUUCGUG
Molecule: ribosomal RNA, 492 nt
Filed under: uncultured bacterium
Lineage: Bacteria
Description: partial 16S ribosomal RNA
Rfam family: Bacterial small subunit ribosomal RNA
Source: RNAcentral